This 775-nucleotide ribosomal RNA is filed under the name uncultured Neocallimastigales. RNAcentral describes it as "partial large subunit ribosomal RNA". It matches the Rfam family "Eukaryotic large subunit ribosomal RNA", at positions 26 to 644 of the family's 3401-position model. Lineage: Eukaryota; Fungi; Neocallimastigomycota; Neocallimastigomycetes; Neocallimastigales. The record is from RNAcentral.
CGUCUAUAUACGUAUAGCAUAUCAAUAAGCGGAGGAAAAGAAACUAACAAGGAUUCCCUUAGUAACGGCGAGUGAAGCGGGAAGAGCUCAAAUUUGAAAUCUUCAAGGUUCUACCUUGACGAAUUGUAGUUUAAAGAAGUGUUUUCUGUUAGUGGAGUGGCAAAAGUUCUUUGGAAUAGGACAUCAUAGAGGGUGAGAAUCCCGUAUUUGGUCAUUCCUUCUAGCUUUGUGAUACACUUUCAAAGAGUCGGAUUGUUUGGGAAUGCAGUCCAAAAUGGGUGGUAAAUUUCAUCUAAAGCUAAAUAUUGGCGAGAGACCGAUAGCGAACAAGUACCGUGAGGGAAAGAUGAAAAGAACUUUGAAAAGAGAGUUAAACAGUACGUGAAAUUGUCAAAAGGGUAAGCGUUUGACACCAGUGUUGUUUUUCCGAAAAUCAAUUAUAGAUGUUUUGUUUCUGAGGAGUGAUGACUUCAUCGGCUUCCUUCUCUCUUCACGAAACUUUUGUAAUGCACUUUUCGGUUAACAAGUCAACAUCAAUUUCUUUUGUUGUAAAAGGGUAUGAGGAAGGUGGCUUUCUUUUCGGAGAAAGUGUUUAUAGCCUUGUGCCUCUGCAAUCGGAGAGAUUGAGGUCUGCAGCGUAGAUCCUUCGGGGUUAGAUACGUUUGUGCUAAGUUAUAGCUUUUCAUAGACAACUUGUUGACUAUGUUUAGUCUUGUAGCUUACUCGCUGACGCUAUUUUACCUACGCUUAGGAUGUUGACUGAUAUGUAGUCGUA